Molecule: ribosomal RNA, 734 nt
Filed under: uncultured fungus
Lineage: Eukaryota; Fungi
Description: eukaryotic LSU rRNA
Rfam family: 5.8S ribosomal RNA (bases 233-386)
Source: RNAcentral
CUCUUGGAUGACAUUUGGCCCAGUGUCCGACGGGACGUAUACAUGCUGGUCCAAAUGUGAACCACAACAUUAUGUGAACUGUAUUGUCUCUGGCGGGGGGGUGAAGCAUACGUUAUUUGCUUUAUCUGUCAGCUUGAUGUAACCUUAUGUCAAGUCGUGGACAUCCCGUCAAACACUUGUCAAACCUAUUGUCUUUUUUUUGUCUAACAUUUUUUUGUAUCAAUAUACAAACAACUUUUGGCAACGGAUCUCUUGGCUCUCGCAACGAUGAAGAACGCAGCGAAAUGCGAUAAGUAGUGUGAAUUGCAGAAUUCAGUGAAUCAUCGAAUCUUUGAACGCACCUUGCGCUUUCUGGUAUUCCGGAGAGCAUGCCCGUUUCAGAAUCAUUAAAAUCUCAUAAACUUUUUAUGUUUUCGAGCAUAAGAUGCUGUGGAUUUGAGUGUUUUGCCUUCGGCAAUCAUUGAAAAAGGAUUGUAUGUGUGCCAAUAGGAAAAAAUUGGUUAUCAAAAGUGCAGCAGAGGAAACUCCCAAUCGCUUUUGGCAGUUGAUUUUGGUACUAAUGGAACAUGUGCCCCAACCAUUAACAAAGGUCAAACCAUUUUGGUGUGAUACUUGAUAACUUGGUCUGAAAUCGGGCAAGAAAACCCGCUGAACUUAAGCAUAUCAAUAAGCGGAGGAAAAGAAACUAACAAGGAUUCCCCUAAUAACGGCGAGUGAAGCGGGAAUAGCUCAAA